UGUAUUCUUCAUGCAUAACUUAUAUUUCAUCCACGGACCCUUCUUGCCUUAUGGCUACACGGUCAUACGACCGAUGCAUCACUAGUGUGGGCCCCGAUGUAAGAUCGCCCAUGGAAGUAACAGAAAAAAUAGAAGAAGAGGACGAGGAAGAGAUGGGUUGGAGCAGAGAUACGGUCCCUCGUGUGCUGCAGAUAGUGAGCACGAGACUUCCUCAGAGAGACCUUAUCUCUCUCUUACCGGUCAGCCCGUGGUUGUACCGUACACUUUCCUCCUACCAUUCUCUCUGGAAGGUUCUUGAUUUGCAUGAGAUGAACAAUGCUGGUGAACGGCUGAUUGCUGCUCUUUCACUGCCCAGAUACCAACAUAUUAAGCAGAUAAACCUUGAGUUUGCACAAGAUAUUGAAGACAAACAUCUCAUUCAACUUAAGGGCAAGUGCAUGGAGGCACUUCAAGAUUUGGAAUCUCUAAAUCUUAAUGGCUGCCAGAAGAUCUCUGAUAAGGGAUUUGAAGCUGUAACUAGUGCUUGCCUUAAACUCAAGGUGUUAUCCAUCUAUUGGAAUGUGAGGGUGUCAGAUUUAGGCAUAAAGCAUAUGGUGGAUCACUGCAAAUAUAUAGUUGAUUUAAACUUGAGUGGUUGUAAGAAUAUCACAGACAAAAGCUUGCACCUAAUUGCCGAUAAUUACCAAGAGCUGGAGUUUUUGAAUCUCACCAGGUGUGUUAAGGUAACAGAUGGUGGAUUGCAACAAGUAUUGCUUAAGUGUUGCUUGUUACGAAGUCUCAACCUUUAUGCACUCUCAAGCUUCACUGAUGAAGCUUACAAGAAGAUUGCAGUUUUAGCUCAUCUGAGGUUCUUAGAUCUCUGUGGUGCACAGAAUCUUUCCGAUCAAGGCCUUUCCUGUAUAGCCAAGUGCAAGAAUCUGGUGUCUCUGAACUUGACAUGGUGUGUUCAAAUCACUGAUGUGGGAGUGAUAGCCAUUGCAGAAGGUUGCUGCUCUCUUGAAUUUCUAAGCUUGUUUGGAAUCGUUGGAGUGACAGAUAGGUGCCUGGAGGUCCUGUCAAGGUUCUGCUCAAAUACACUAGCAACCCUUGAUGUUAAUGGAUGUAUUGGCAUUAAGAGACGGAGCCGUGAUGAAUUGCUACAAUUGUUCCCACAUCUGAGGUGCUUCAAAGUGCAUAGCUAGUAAUUUGGUCCGUGGAAGCACUUCAAUAAACAUUUUGCACCAACAUGACUAUCACACUCAAUGAAGCGUCUAUCCAGCUUCUAUUGCUUGACAUACAUUAGCAAGGCAUCCCAAGGGAGAAACCAGAACUAGGAGCCAUUGUCGACGCCAAGAAGAUUUCUCAGGUGAAGGUUUGUGUUACAAAAGAAAUCAUAUUCCUUUGUUUCUUUAUGGGUUCUUGGGCAAUAUCUGUUCAUGAAAUCGACUUCGGAUUCGAUAUCUGAAGUCGGACAGCGUAGGUGAAUCAUGUGAUCUCAACCUGAAUCAUUGCAGUUCCAACGGUUGAAUCAUGUGAUCUCAACCAUUUGAAUCAUUGAAGUGGCAUACAUACUGUUAAAUUUGGCACCGACCCUCUCCAGGUCUCUCUUUUCCUUUUCCAUGUGUGUGGCAUCGAUGCCCUUUCUCUAAUGCAUUUCAUCCAGAUCAAUGCCAUGUAAGUGUUUUUUUUUUUUUUUUUUUUU
RNA transcript from Nelumbo nucifera (sacred lotus), 1681 nucleotides. It is a transcript of the gene named RNI-like superfamily protein, with no coding region annotated. Lineage: Eukaryota; Viridiplantae; Streptophyta; Magnoliopsida; Proteales; Nelumbonaceae. The record is from RefSeq and is a predicted model, not a curated record.